UGGCUCUCGCAUCGAUGAAGAACGCAGCGAAAUGCGAUAAGUAAUGUGAAUUGCAGAAUUCAGUGAAUCAUCGAAUCUUUGAACGCACCUUGCACCCUUUGGUAUUCCGAAGGGUAUGCUCGUUUGAGUGUCAUUGUAAUCUCACACCUAAGACUCUUUUGUCAAGGGAGGUGGACUUGGAGCUUUGCUGAUGAAAAUCGGCUGCUCUCAAAUGCGUUAGUGUGGCUUAGGUCUAGGCGCUUGAUGCCCGGUGUAAUAAGUGUUUCGCCGUGGUUAGUCUUAACUGUAGCUUCAUGCUUCUAACCGUCUCUUGACCGAGACUAUUGCGCAAGCGGUACAUUGACAAUUUGACCUCAAAUCGAGUAGGACUACCCGCUGA
Molecule: unclassified non-coding RNA, 379 nt
Filed under: uncultured fungus
Lineage: Eukaryota; Fungi
Description: partial contains 5.8S ribosomal RNA and internal transcribed spacer 2
Rfam family: 5.8S ribosomal RNA (bases 1-133)
Source: RNAcentral